GCUUGGUCCUGACUUUACUGUCGGCUGUUACUAAACUUACACAUGCAAGUCUCCGCACCCCUGUGAGGAUGCCCUUAACGUCCCUACCCGGACACCAGGAGCUGGUAUCAGGCACACAAUCUGCCCGCCCAAGACGCCUUGCUUUGCCACACCCCCAAGGGAACUCAGCAGUGAUAAACAUUAAGCCAUAGGCGAAAGCCUGACCUAGUGAAAGUAAACAGAGCCGGCCAAACUCGUGCCAGCCGCCGCGGUUAUACGAGAGGCUCAAGUCGAUAGAAACCGGCGUAAAGGGUGGUUAAUUCUAUAUGCAAGCUAGAGGAAAAUGCCUUCCAAGCUGUUAUACGCACCCGAAGGUAAGAAAAACCCACACGAAAGACCCUCUAAUAAAUAUGAACCCACGACAGCUUUGGCACAAACUGGGAUUAGAUACCCCACUAUGCUCGGCCGUAAACUUAGAUAACUAAUUAUAAUGUUUAUCCGCCAGGGUACUACGAGCAUAAGCUUAAAACCCAAAGGACUUGGCGGUGCUUCAGACCCUCCUAGAGGAGCCUGUUCUAGAACCGAUAUUCCUCGUUAAACCUCACCGCCUCUUGUUCACCCCCGCCUAUAUACCGCCGUCGUCAGCUUACCCUUUGAAGGUAAUAAAGUAAGCGAAACAGUCACAAACAAAAACGUCAGGUCGAGGUGUAGCGUAUGAGGCGGGAAGAAAUGGGCUACAUUCUCUUUCCGCAGAGAAAAACGGAAGGGGCAGUGAAACCUGCCCCCAAAGGUGGAUUUAGCAGUAAGCAAGAAAUAGAGUGUCUUGCUGAAACCGGCUCUGAAGCGCGCACACACCGCCCGUCACUCUCCCCGACGACUCACUAAUUUUCAUAAAGAAAAACAAAAAAAAGGGGAGGCAAGUCGUAACAAGGUAAGUGUACCGGAAGGUGCACUUGGACAAC
RNAcentral lists this non-coding RNA (941 nucleotides) under Synodus foetens (inshore lizardfish). RNAcentral's name for it is "partial small subunit ribosomal RNA". It matches the Rfam family "Bacterial small subunit ribosomal RNA". The record is from RNAcentral. Lineage: Eukaryota; Metazoa; Chordata; Actinopteri; Aulopiformes; Synodontidae.